GACGAACGCUGGCGGCGUGCUUAACACAUGCAAGUCGAACGAAGAGCGAUGGAAGCUUGCUUCUAUCAAUCUUAGUGGCGAACGGGUGAGUAACGCGUAAUCAACCUGCCCUUCAGAGGGGGACAACAGUUGGAAACGACUGCUAAUACCGCAUACGAUCUAAUCGCGGCAUCGAGGAAAGAUGAAAGGUGGCCUCUAUUCAUAAGCUAUCACUGAAGGAGGGGAUUGCGGCUGAUUAGCUAGUUGGAGGGGAAACGGCCCAACAAGGCGAUGGUCAGUAGCCCGUCUGGGGGGAUGGACGGCCACCUUUGGACCGGGGCACCGCCCAGGCUCCUAACGGGGGCAGCCGUGGGGGAUCUUCCGCAAUGGACGAAAGUCUGACGGGGCAACGCCGCGUGGGUGAUGGCGGGCUUCGGGUUGUUAAGCUCUGUUUAUCGGGACGAAAGGCCUUCUUGCGAAAAGUUAGAAGGAUUGACGGUACCGGAAUAGAAAGCCACGGCUAACUACGUG
RNAcentral lists this ribosomal RNA (510 nucleotides) under uncultured bacterium. Its description in RNAcentral is "partial 16S ribosomal RNA". It matches the Rfam family "Bacterial small subunit ribosomal RNA", at positions 28 to 507 of the family's 1533-position model. The record is from RNAcentral.